This 405-nucleotide ribosomal RNA is filed under the name Verrucomicrobiota bacterium. Its description in RNAcentral is "Verrucomicrobia bacterium partial 16S ribosomal RNA". It matches the Rfam family "Bacterial small subunit ribosomal RNA", at positions 355 to 776 of the family's 1533-position model. Lineage: Bacteria; Pseudomonadati; Verrucomicrobiota. The record is from RNAcentral.
UGGGGAAUAUUGGACAAUGGAGGAAACUCUGAUCCAGCAAUUCUGUGUGUGAAGAAGGUUUUAUGACUGUAAAACACUUUUAGUAGGGAAGAAAAAAAUGACGGUACCUACAGAAGAAGCAACGGCUAAAUACGUGCCAGCAGCCGCGGUAAUACGUAUGUUGCGAGCGUUAUCCGGAAUUAUUGGGCUUAAAGGGCAUCUAGGCGGUAAGACAAGUUGAAGGUGAAAACCUGUGGCUCAACCAUAGGCUUGCCUACAAAACUGUUGAACUAGAGUACUGGAAAGGUGGGUGGAACUACACGAGUAGAGGUGAAAUUCGUAGAUAUGUGUAGGAAUGCCGAUGAUGAAGAUAACUCACUGGACAGAAACUGACGCUGAAGUGCGAAAGCUAGGGGAGCAAACAGG